Acanthosepion pharaonis is the source of this 112-nucleotide non-coding RNA. Lineage: Eukaryota; Metazoa; Mollusca; Cephalopoda; Sepiida; Sepiidae. The record is from the annotation of a GenBank genome assembly.
GUAGCCAUAUGAUGUUGAAACACUGAUUCUCGUAUGAUCACUGAAGUUAAGCAACACUGAGUCUGGUCAGUGCCUAGAUGGGUAAGCCUUUGGAAAUGCCAGGUGUUGUAAG